UGUCGCUCAGCUCGCUGUUGUGAAAUGUUGGGUUAAGUCCCGCGAACGAGCGCAACCUUAUNCUUUGUUGCCAGCGAGUAAUGUCGGGAACUCAAAGGAGACUGCCGGUGAUAAACCGGAGUGAAGGUGGGGAUGACGUCUACGUCGAUCAUGGCCCUUACGAGUAGGGCUACUACACGUGCUACAAUGGCAUAUACAAAGAGAAGCGAACUCGCGAGAGCAAGCGGACCUCAUAAAGUAUGUCGCUAGUCCGGAUUGGGAGUCUGCAACUCGAUCUCCAUGAAGUCCGGAAUCGCUAGUAAUCGUAGAUCAGAAUGCUACGGUGAAUACGUUCCCG
RNAcentral lists this ribosomal RNA (337 nucleotides) under Hafnia sp. LGI-P3RG. RNAcentral describes it as "bacterial SSU rRNA". It matches the Rfam family "Bacterial small subunit ribosomal RNA", at positions 1050 to 1376 of the family's 1533-position model. The record is from RNAcentral. Lineage: Bacteria; Pseudomonadati; Pseudomonadota; Gammaproteobacteria; Enterobacterales; Hafniaceae.